This 301-nucleotide ribosomal RNA is filed under the name uncultured bacterium. RNAcentral describes it as "partial 16S ribosomal RNA". It matches the Rfam family "Bacterial small subunit ribosomal RNA", at positions 509 to 807 of the family's 1533-position model. The record is from RNAcentral.
CAGCCGCCACGGUAAUACGAAGGGGGCUAGCGUUGCUCGGAAUGACUGGGCGUAAAGGGCGCGUAGGCGGCGAUCAAAGUCAGGCGUGAAAUUCCUGGGCUCAACCUGGGGGCUGCGCUUGAUACUUGGUUGCUUGAGUGGGGAAGAGGGUCGUGGAAUUCCCAGUGUAGAGGUGAAAUUCGUAGAUAUUGGGAAGAACACCGGUGGCGAAGGCGGCGACCUGGUCCUUGACUGACGCUGAGGCGCGAAAGCGUGUGGAGCAAACAGGAUUAGAUACCCCCGUAGUCCCUGUCUCUUAUAC